AAGGGCUUAGGAUAGCAUUAGACCAAGGGCCUUCAAAGCCCUCAGCGGGAGUGAGACUCUCUCAGCCUUUG
Molecule: transfer RNA, 71 nt
Filed under: Schindleria praematura (Schindler's fish)
Lineage: Eukaryota; Metazoa; Chordata; Actinopteri; Gobiiformes; Schindleriidae
Description: tRNA-Trp
Rfam family: tRNA
About the family: Transfer RNA (tRNA) molecules are approximately 80 nucleotides in length. Their secondary structure includes four short double-helical elements and three loops (D, anti-codon, and T loops). Further hydrogen bonds mediate the characteristic L-shaped molecular structure. tRNAs have two regions of fundamental functional importance: the anti-codon, which is responsible for specific mRNA codon recognition, and the 3' end, to which the tRNAs corresponding amino acid is attached (by aminoacyl-tRNA synthetases). tRNAs cope with the degeneracy of the genetic code in two manners: having more than one tRNA (with a specific anti-codon) for a particular amino acid; and 'wobble' base-pairing, i.e. permitting non-standard base-pairing at the 3rd anti-codon position.
Source: RNAcentral